Molecule: long non-coding RNA, 3587 nt
Organism: Sinocyclocheilus anshuiensis
Lineage: Eukaryota; Metazoa; Chordata; Actinopteri; Cypriniformes; Cyprinidae
Exons: 3
Source: RefSeq, a predicted model, not a curated record
CUGACAACGUGAUAGCAGAUUCUCUGUCUAGGUGUUAAUUGUAAACUAUGUAAACCAUGUUUACUCUUAUGUGUGGGGGUGUUACGACCCUAUAGUUUUGUUGUGUUUUGUUCUGCUGGUUUGUGUGUGUCUGCCCAGGUUGCUGCUGAUUGGUUCCUGCAGACUCAUUGAUGUCGUCCUCUGAUUGGUCUUCUCUCCCUUAAAAGAGAUGACAGCAUUUCCUUCAGGGGGGGCAUUUUGUGAACCAUGCUGUUUGUUGGUGCAGUGCUUGUGCUGUUUUACCCCCAUUUGUAUGCUUAGAGAGAUUGUCUGGAUAUUCAUUGUUUGUGUAACGGUUUGGGGAGAUCAGCCUGGACAAUCCUCCGGGUAAGAUGAGGGGAGUGUGUUUCCAAUGAUGUCUUCAAUGGUGAGUUACUGACUGAUUGUAAUGGAGAUGCAGGUUGUGUUUUCAAAGAUAAUUUGUCCCCCUGAAGUGAAUCUCUGUUUGCUUCUUCCAGACAUGCAGCAAUUCCAGUUUCACUCUUCUCUAUUUUAGUCAUGGGGAAUGUAUUCUUUUGAUCGGUCCUUGUGGCAAGCUCACUGUGGGCAGCAGUGGAGUUGAAGACCUGGUCUGUAGUCUUCGGUGGAACUGUUACCUUAGGUAGCGUGAUGUAUCACUGCAGAAUUUACUUCCUCACAGUCAUUCACAUUUAUAUGUGGUGCAGCAUUUAUCUUGGCUUUGGUGGAGCUUUGAUUUGACCUCUCAAGGUUCAAUGCAGCCAACUUCAAUUGUUUUGAUGUUUUCAGAUUAAGAUCUGUUUUUGUAAGAUGACUAAUUUCAGUUAAGUCAGCUUCAUUUUUCUUUAUACUUUUGUCAGCAUUGUGAUGUUGCAUAGUGACCUUUUUUAAUCUAAUUACGUCUGAUGCAACAUUCUCAGUGACACAAUGACUUGAUGAUUCAGGUCCUUGAAUCAGGUUUUCUUGACUUAGUGGCUGUUGAUCAGGCUUGUUGACUUCAGAGGGUUGUGAAUGCAGGGAAAGGUCAAACUUUUCAUCACACAGACCUUCAGAUUCCAAAACAGCUGUGGUUUUGUUCGUGGUGUCUGUGCAAUCAGAUAUAUUACCUAUUUGACUGACAGUGUUGCUGUUUGUCAAAAUAGAGGUUACUGCAUUCGUUUCAGUUCUGAUUUCAACAGCAUCUACAGUGUGUUCUGUUUCUGCACUAUUGUGAGAUGUGCUGUCCACAUCUGUAAUAUAUAUUGCAGGAAUGGUAAAUUCUGUGGGUAAAACUUUUGAAUAUUGGGAGAGUAAUGUUGAGGGGCCAGAAUGAACAUUGCAUUUUUUUAGAGUAACUUUGCAUCUUGUGAUAAGUUGAUUUGGGUAGUUCAGAUAUGGUUACAUUAGAUUGUUCCUGUAUGUCCAUUUUAGCAACAUUGACUGUAGCUACAAAAGAGGCGUUCUGACACUCCUGGGCCUUAUUAUCUUUAAUUUGAACAUUAGAGAUUGAGGAGUCAUUCAUGGUCUGUGGUUGCACCACAUGUGAAUUUGUCAUGUGAAUUUCAGGUUCUGUGACAAUGACUUGAUUUGUGGAAUGGUUUGAAUUUGCCUUUGACUUUUCUUUAGAAAUACUGUUCUAUACGUGCACAAUUGUGUUGAUGAUUUUUAUCUCAUUUUCUUCCAUACUAUUCAAAGCCGUGGAUGCAAGUUUUGUUUCACCUUUGAGUUUGUCAGACUCUUUGAUUAGUUGAUUUUCAGCUUUGCUGUCCUUCUCAAACAUGUUAUCUAAUGUGUCAUCUCCCAAUGAGGAACUCACAGCUGUUGUAACCCUGCCGCCUUGAAACAUCUGUGAAACAUGACCUGAGGAGAUUUUCUCACUCGGUUGAGUGUUUGGCGGCUCAGUGACAAGUGUACUGCUCUUUGUUGAUGCGACAGACUGAUCACCUGUUCUCAGCUUCUUUCCCUGUGAUGCAAGGUGGCAGGAACUGAGUGCUUCCGUAACACUCGCAGUGACCUCAUGCAUCAAUGAGGGUUGCUGCUUUAAAUCCAUGGACGCUUCCUUCUGAAAAGGAGGAAUGUCUCCACAAAUUGGUGGCUCUGUGGGUUGAGUUUGAGUAUCACCUGCAGCCUAAAAUCAUGGAAUUAUAGACAUAUUAUUAUAGACAUACUGGUUCAGCUGGACUGUACUAAUGCCAAAUCCCUAAACACUGUAAAUCUGCAGGAAGAUUCUGCCACUUAGCACCUCAGUCAUUAAUCUAAAAUCAAAGAUCAUUGUGUUAGCUGAACCUCGGUUAAUAUUAUCACUUGAUUAUCUCUCAUUUCGCUAGGAUAAGAGAAAAUAAGUGGAUUCAACAUUACUUUAUUUGACAGACCCCAUAUUAAAUAAUGUGAAUUCACGAAUUAUAUGAUUACAAGUUAGAAUAAGAAGCCACCUGUUUUCAGUUGACUAGGUCUAUCUUUGUUUCUUAUUUAGCAUCUAUUGCCUUGGGGAAGCUGUUGCACUGCCCAUAUUUAGAGAGUAUUUUGAGGUUUUAUGAGAUCAGAGGGGAAUGUGAGAUAUUAAAAGGAGAGCAGCUGGUCUGUCCACAGAACUUACAGCUUACACAGUAAAGUUAUAUUUUGUAUCUACUUUUAAAACGUCAUAGCAACAGGUGAUUAGGGACAGCAAACACAUUUGAUGGAUCUUAGGAUCUCUAUACUUCCAUGUGCUCUGGAGCCACAAUGUCCGUAAUGGGAAUAUUAUCAUUGUCUGUUACCCUACUUCUGUGUCAUAUAAGAUGGGUCUUGUCACAUCAUCAAAGUCAUCCUUGCCGCUCUAUUUAUAGUUUAUGAUUGUGACUGAGGGGGGGGUACUGGUCUCACUACCACUGGGAACAUUACGCUCACAUGACAUCAUGGCCAAAGCAUGAGGAAACACUCACCAAGCUUCUAAGAGAGCAUGCAGAUGCAUUCCUCACCCUUGUGUCCACAUUGACGUCAUUCCCACCACAGGAAUGAGGAAAGAUCCUCACACAUGUACCUACUGGAGUUUUAUUUCCAUGGUCAUCAAAAUCCAUGAGCUUGUUGUCUAUAAGUCUUGGAUUACAGUUCUGGAUAGUAUCUAGAGCUUGAAGUUGGAUGUUUGAUGUCCCUUUGUCAGAUGAUUCAGUUAGCUUUGUGCUUUCAACCACCUUGUCUGCACUCAAAAAAAAUGAAAUGUGGCUGCUGUUGGUCCAAAUAAUGUAACUAUGUUUAAAUUAAAUAAUUCCCUUACGUUUGUGUAUUAAAAUUAAAAGAGUUGUGUUGACCAAAUUAGAAAAAGUCAUAUUUCAAAUUUACACAGUUCACUUAAGUAAAGUGAAUGAAAUGGAGUUGAGUUGCUUCUGCAGUACCGCAGAUGGACAGUACAUUCAAAGAUCAUUCUUCAGCGAUCGGCGCCAUUUUUGAAUCAGACGAAGAUCACAGUGCCAAACGAGGAAUGUUUUCUUUAUGUGGAAACACAGAGUUUUAUAGUCCUACAUGUGGCUGUGCAGAGAUUGUGGUUCCUCUCACACAUCCAGAUCAAAUCCAGCACUCUUUACAGAGCAAGAGGUAACGUUGAGUCUUUGUAAUGUCAGCUGUGAUGAAUUACU